GACAUAGGGGGCAAGCGUUGCUCGGAAUCACUGGGCGUAAAGGGCGCGUAGGCGGGAUGGCAAGUCGGUCGUGAAAUCCUCGGGCUCAACUCGAGGGGGUCGGCCGAUACUGCCGUUCUUGAGGGAUGCAGAGGAGACUGGAAUUCCCGGUGUAGCGGUGAAAUGUGUAGAGAUCGGGAGGAACACCGGUGGCGAAGGCGGGUCUCUGGGCAUUCCCUGACGCUGAGGCGCGAAAGCGUGGGGAGCAAACGGGAUUAGAAACCCUCGUAGUCC
This 273-nucleotide ribosomal RNA is filed under the name uncultured bacterium. RNAcentral's name for it is "partial 16S ribosomal RNA". It matches the Rfam family "Bacterial small subunit ribosomal RNA", at positions 524 to 796 of the family's 1533-position model. The record is from RNAcentral.